AUGCAAUUUCUUUGUAUAAGAUUGUAUCAUAGCAAAAAAUGAAUAAAGAGUGGGAGCAAAAGACGUGAAGUGCGUACUAGCCAUCAGUGAUAUGGAACUGUCCCCUUCGCUUAGCUGAUGCACCAGUACACCUCAAAAAAAAAAAACUGAUGCACCAGUGGGUAGAAAAUGCCAGUAACUUAUCCAACAACAUCUGUGCAUAGGAAAUGGAUAAAUGAAUUACCGAUGUAAACACUACAGUCAGCAUUCCAACGAAAUGCAUCUGUAAUUAACUGACUUGACAGGUUUGUAUUCAAUCGAAUUCGUUUUUCAAAGUAAUGCUAUAGGAUAGGUUGUGUAUCCAAACUUGGGGAAAAAAUUCUGGUUCAGGAACCUGGAUGGGCGCUCCGUCGCUCUAUAUUUCUUAGAGAUUUCAAAGGAACCAAUCUUGUAAACUGCUCCUUCGCAAAUUCUAUUAUCAAAGAUGUGCAUUCUUUUUUCAGUAAUUGCUCCCUCUAUUGUGCCAUCCUAGUAAGGCAGAUGGUAAUGAUAGAUCAGAAAGCAUGAACAAUUGUGCGAGUCUUACCUUGGAGUCUACCAUGACGAAGUUCUGACCAUAUAAUUCAGUCCUAUCAUCGCUCCAAUAUUCCCAUAUCCUAGUGAUUCGAACAGUUAAUUUAUCCUUGUAUGAAAAAUGAGUUGGUCAUCCAUCAGCUAGGCCCUAAAACAUGUAAACAAAGCAUUAGCUAUACGAAGCGUCUGGAUCUAAUAACUUUAAUAGUUUUACAAUACAUAAUGAGAUGUUGAAUAUUCUUUGGUUGUGAAUGUAGAAAUGCUGAUGCCAUUAAGAAAAUGUAAAUUAAAUUACGUGAAUGAGUUGGACCGAGGCUAGCACAUCAAAAAUCCUUCUGUGGCUUGUAGAAAAAAUGGUUCAAAGAAGAAUAACAAAUUCAGUAAAAAAAAUGUCCAAUUUUGCCACAGAAAGAGAAACAUGCUGGCAAAAAGCACACAGAUCAAAGAAUCAAGAGGAGCAGGUGCAGCCCGAU
This 1025-nucleotide long non-coding RNA is filed under the name Triticum aestivum (bread wheat). Its description in RNAcentral is "long non-coding RNA (TAES_LNC005002)". Lineage: Eukaryota; Viridiplantae; Streptophyta; Magnoliopsida; Poales; Poaceae. The record is from RNAcentral.